RNAcentral lists this ribosomal RNA (258 nucleotides) under uncultured bacterium. RNAcentral describes it as "partial 16S ribosomal RNA". It matches the Rfam family "Bacterial small subunit ribosomal RNA", at positions 103 to 354 of the family's 1533-position model. The record is from RNAcentral.
CGGGUGAGUAACACGUGAGUGACCUGCCUUUUAGACUGGAACAACUUACCGAAAGGUGAGCUAAUGCCGGAUGAGUUAUGUAAGUGCAUGUUUAUAUAGGAAAAGUUGGGGAGACCUGACGCUGAAAGAUGGACUCGCGUCCCAUUAGCUAGUUGGUAGGGUAAUGGCCUACCAAGGCGACGAUGGGUAGCCGGCCUGAGAGGGUGGCCGGCCACACUGGGACUGAGACACGGCCCAGACUCCUACGGGAGGCAGCAG